RNAcentral lists this ribosomal RNA (236 nucleotides) under uncultured bacterium. RNAcentral describes it as "partial 16S ribosomal RNA". It matches the Rfam family "Bacterial small subunit ribosomal RNA", at positions 100 to 334 of the family's 1533-position model. The record is from RNAcentral.
CGGGACGGGUGAGUAACGCGUGGAUAACCUGCCUCACACUGGGGGAUAACAGUUAGAAAUGACUGCUAAUACCGCAUAAGCGCACAGUACCGCAUGGUACAGUGUGAAAAACUCCGGUGGUGUGAGAUGGAUCCGCGUCUGAUUAGCCGGUUGGCGGGGUAACGGCCCACCAAAGCGACGAUCAGUAGCCGACCUGAGAGGGUGACCGGCCACAUUGGGACUGAGACACGGCCCAA